RNAcentral lists this small RNA (27 nucleotides) under Bombyx mori (domestic silkworm). RNAcentral describes it as "ovarian small RNA-16116". The record is from RNAcentral. Lineage: Eukaryota; Metazoa; Arthropoda; Insecta; Lepidoptera; Bombycidae.
GAUCGAAUGGUCGAUGAGCACGUCCGC